GAUGAACGCUGGCGGCGUGCCUAACACAUGCAAGUCGAGCGAUUCUCUUCGGAGAAGAGCGGCGGACGGGUGAGUAACGCGUGGGUAACCUGCCCUGUACACACGGAUAACAUACCGAAAGGUAUGCUAAUACGAGAUAAUAUACUUUUAUCGCAUGGUAGAAGUAUCAAAGCUUUUGCGGUACAGGAUGGACCCGCGUCUGAUUAGCUAGUUGGUAAGGUAACGGCUUACCAAGGCGACGAUCAGUAGCCGACCUGAGAGGGUGAUCGGCCACAUUGGAACUGAGACACGGUCCAAACUCCUACGGGAGGCAGCAGUGGGGAAUAUUGCACAAUGGGCGAAAGCCUGAUGCAGCAACGCCGCGUGAGCGAUGAA
This 375-nucleotide ribosomal RNA is filed under the name uncultured bacterium. Its description in RNAcentral is "bacterial SSU rRNA". It matches the Rfam family "Bacterial small subunit ribosomal RNA", at positions 28 to 412 of the family's 1533-position model. The record is from RNAcentral.